GCUUUCCUGCGCUCUGAGAGGGGUUGUCUGCCCUUGCAUGGGGCCAAGUCACUAGGAAGCCGCAAAUCUUUUUAGUACGAAGGCACUAGACUUUCUAAAAGAUUCGGCCAAGGAAGCUGUCUUCCGUGUCUCUUUUUCUUCCAAGCCGCCCUCCCCAGCCACAAGCCGCCGCAGGACCCAGUGGGGCUGAAUGACAGGCGGUCCAGCCCAAAGUAAGGGCUGAAGAAGAUCACUUGAACCCUAAGAAAUCCCUCUCCUCUGAAAUCUGUGUAUGACACCAGCUGCCCCUCCUUUCGAUGGGCCCAGCCUUGUUUUUGACUUGACAGACAUCGUGAGCUGCCUGCUGGAAGGAACCCCACGCAGCAGGCACUGCUUCCCGACGGGAUCUGAAGGACCCUGAGCAUCCUCUCUACCCAAAAGAGACGCUUUGCACCUGCUCCCACCUUGCAUCCUCUGUGCUUUUACUCUCUCAGCCUCUCAUUUAAAAGCAUCCCCAAAGCUCCCCUUCCCCUCCCACCAUGAUUGGAAGCUUUCUGAGGCCCUAUGCAGAAGGAGAUGUGGCACCAUGCUUCUCUCUACAGCCCGCAGAACUGUGAGCCAAAUAAACCUCUUUUUUAAAUUGCAUUUUAGGUUUGGGGUACAUGUGAAGAACAUGCAAGAUAGUUGCAUAGAUACACUU
Molecule: long non-coding RNA, 679 nt
Filed under: Callithrix jacchus (white-tufted-ear marmoset)
Lineage: Eukaryota; Metazoa; Chordata; Mammalia; Primates; Cebidae
Description: lncRNA (ENSCJAG00000052819.2)
Source: RNAcentral